UCCUUCCGUUUCCGCUCUCUUUCCUUUUCUGCAGCGAUAGAAGGCCACGUUGAAGUGGACUCAUUUACCCUCCUUCAAAUUUGUUCAAAACCAAAUCAUGGCAAGGACGGUCCACAUAGUCCCCUGUUUAACUUUCAGAGGUUUUACCACUGCAGUAAAAGAAAAGAACCGAACAUAGCAGAGUGAGAGCAGAUGAAGAGCCCAUCAACGAACGUGAGGACGCUAAGCAGAAAUACAACAUGAAGUAAAAGUUUCAAAGACGGUCAAGUCUGAAUGAGGACCGCAUCCCUGGCUGGAUGUGAGGCACGUAACAUGCCGCAAAGGUUUAGAGGCACCGGUCUGAGUUGAGGACGCAUAUCACCCGACAGGAUCUGAAAGUUGGUGACAGUGUUCUUGGCGUCCUUCGAGACAUUCACACCACUGCUGAAUGUUAAAUAUAAACAGCGCGGGGGCUGUCUGCAGUCCCGCUUGUACACAGCAGGCUGCCGCAUUUAAUGCUUCAACACCCUGAACACCCCCUUCCCAGUUUUGUCUAAAUCGUUUGAGGAUCCUGAAAAGUGUGUUUUACAUAAAACGUUAAUUGUCAAAGGAA
Long non-coding RNA from Hippocampus comes (tiger tail seahorse), 592 nucleotides. RefSeq lists it as uncharacterized. The transcript has 5 exons. Lineage: Eukaryota; Metazoa; Chordata; Actinopteri; Syngnathiformes; Syngnathidae. The record is from RefSeq and is a predicted model, not a curated record.